GACGGGCCUCCCCGCAUAUUGGCAUGGCAAUCUGGUCAGGUCGGGAACGAAGCAGCCAAACCCAUUCACCAGUAGUGCCGGGGGUAUGGCUCGUCCCU
This 98-nucleotide signal recognition particle RNA is filed under the name Polynucleobacter kasalickyi. RNAcentral describes it as "Polynucleobacter sp. VK13 Bacterial small signal recognition particle RNA". It matches the Rfam family "Bacterial small signal recognition particle RNA". From Rfam's summary of the family: The signal recognition particle (SRP) is a universally conserved ribonucleoprotein involved in the co-translational targeting of proteins to membranes. Lineage: Bacteria; Pseudomonadati; Pseudomonadota; Betaproteobacteria; Burkholderiales; Burkholderiaceae. The record is from Rfam by way of RNAcentral.